Molecule: ribosomal RNA, 253 nt
Filed under: uncultured bacterium
Lineage: Bacteria
Description: partial 16S ribosomal RNA
Rfam family: Bacterial small subunit ribosomal RNA
Source: RNAcentral
UACGUAGGGGGCAAGCGUUGUCCGGAAUCAUUGGGCGUAAAGAGCGUGUAGGCGGUUCGGUAAGUCGGCUGUGAAAGUCCAGGGCUCAACCCUGGGAUGCCGGUCGAUACUGCCGGACUAGAGUUCGGAAGAGGCGAGUGGAAUUCCCGGUGUAGCGGUGAAAUGCGCAGAUAUCGGGAGGAACACCUAUGGCGAAGGCAGCUCGCUGGGACGUUACUGACGCUGAGACGCGAAAGCGUGGGGAGCGAACAGG